AGGAGCCCGGUGAACCGAGAGGUUCACGCCGGGAUCUGUGGGAGCCCCGAGGUGAAAUCCCUCGGGGCCACCCGAC
Molecule: non-coding RNA, 76 nt
Filed under: Sinosporangium album
Lineage: Bacteria; Bacillati; Actinomycetota; Actinomycetes; Streptosporangiales; Streptosporangiaceae
Source: RNAcentral